CUUGGCUCCGCCGGGGUCGGGCCGUCAGGGCCUCUGCCCGCCCAGGCGUCCGCGCCGCCACCAAGUGCGUGUAAGGGCCUAGCGCGUUUUCACGUACGCUUGACACGCCCUGAAGGAGCUUCCCGCUCCGCAGGCCGCUGGAGUACGUGGUGGUGAGUCUCCCCUUGAGGCCAAGCGAAGGCGAAGGAUCGUGAACGCCUUUGCGCAAGAGCGGGAGACAGCAGUAGCUUUAGCCCCGUGCCUGUCUGGCUGGCAGGGGAUUUUUGUGGGCGCACGAUUCUGCCUGUAUGCUGUCUGGCUACAGCACGUUUUACUCUGUUAUGAAGGCUCUUGAGUUCACUUCUCUGACAGAGGAUUAGGGCGUUUAGGAAGUUGGCUCAAGUGUGACAGGUCUGGUCUAGCUGCUGCAGGAAUUUUUCCAGAUUGUGCAAACCGCUUCGGUUGCUCAGCUCCCUGUGCUUCUACCUUUCAAUGCUGAGCAAAAAAAAAAAUAGGGAGCAGACUGCCUUUUUCCGUGGUAGUCUUAAUCCCUGAGGCCUCCAAGCAACUCUUGCACGUCCCUCAGUUAUUAGUGCAGAUCUGUACUCAACCCUGUCGAAUAGGACAGCUGACCGCUAACUAGCAAUGUUUGCACAACAGCCAAGUUUAGACCACGACUACUGUGAGUUUUGAAGAGUUGCCCUCAACGUUUUAGCAUCAGCUCCAGCAAGCUUCUAAUGUAGUUGAGCAAGAGAAGCAAGGCUGUCAGUACAGCAAAACAUGCACGCAAGCAAUGGGAGGACUGUCUGCAAUCCCCUCUGCUAUGAGACAAGCUUCUCUCUUGGUCAUAUCUUUUAGCGGAACUAUCAGUAUGGUCUUGCUUAACUAUGGAACUUUUAGAAGCCAUUAUGCUAAUAUAAACUGCUUUAGCUGAACAAGAAUAUAGACUUUUUAAUCGAAAUAAUACAGACCUCCUCCCCCAAAACUUGAAGCUCACAUGCGCUAGGAGAAAGCAAAAGAAGCAACAGUGAAGCUCUGAAAAAACAAGUUGGCAUCACCAGUACCCAGGCAGAAAUGGCACAAAACAGUAAGAUCUCCAUGGCUACUGAAAUAAUAGAGGAAAAAUAAAACCAAGACAACAGUUUAAUGAAUUUUAAUAAAGACAAAAUGCUGAAGCUUGGCAGUCUUCUUUUGCUAAGGCUAAAAUAAAAUGGUUGUGCUCCAGGAGGAAAUUAAACAAAGCAAAAAGAACUCUCCAAGAUCACCGUGGUUACUGAUCAGUAACUCAUGAAUUAAAAGUUGUUGUUUGGGAUGUUUUGGGAAAGCAGUGUUAGGGGGAAUAGACAGCAGACAAGCAAGAUGGGAGGCAGAUGAAGAACCAGGUCAAACGUAAAGUCACACAAAAGAGCAACUAAAAUACUAAGAAUGUCUGAAAAAAAAAGUGUAAUUUAUUAGUCAAGCUUACC
Long non-coding RNA from Struthio camelus australis, 1445 nucleotides. RefSeq lists it as uncharacterized. Lineage: Eukaryota; Metazoa; Chordata; Aves; Struthioniformes; Struthionidae. The record is from RefSeq and is a predicted model, not a curated record.